RNAcentral lists this ribosomal RNA (440 nucleotides) under uncultured bacterium. RNAcentral describes it as "partial 16S ribosomal RNA". It matches the Rfam family "Bacterial small subunit ribosomal RNA", at positions 338 to 795 of the family's 1533-position model. The record is from RNAcentral.
CCUACGGGAGGCAGCAGUGGGGAAUAUUGCACAAUGGGGGAAACCCUGAUGCAGCGACGCCGCGUGAGUGAAGAAGUCUUUCGGUAUGUAAAGCUCUAUCAGCAGGGGAGAAAAUGACGGUACCUGUGUACUAAGCCCCGGCUAACGACGUGCCAGCAGCCGCGGGCAUACGUAGGGGGAACGCGUUAUCCGGAUUGACUGGGUGUAAAGGGAGCGUAGACGGCAGCACAGGUCUGGAGUGAAAUGCCGGGGCUUAACCCCGGAACUGCUGUGGAAACUGUGGAGCUUGAGUGGAGGAGAGGUAAGUGGAAUGCGUAGUGUAGCGGUGAAAUGCGUAGAUAUUAGGAGGAACACCAGUGGCGAAGGCGGCUUACUGGACUGUAACUGACGUUGAGGCUCGAAAGCGUGGGGAGCAAACAGGAUUAGAUACCCGGGUAGUC